Molecule: ribosomal RNA, 253 nt
Filed under: uncultured bacterium
Lineage: Bacteria
Description: partial 16S ribosomal RNA
Rfam family: Bacterial small subunit ribosomal RNA
Source: RNAcentral
UACGGGGGGGGCAAGCGUUGUUCGGAAUUACUGGGCGUAAAGGGUGCGUAGGCGGCUUUCUAAGUUGGAUGCGAAAGCCCACGGCUCAACCGUGGAGGGUCAUUGGAAACUGGGGGACUUGAGUACAGAAGAGAAGAGUGGAAUUCCACGUGUAGCGGUGAAAUGCGUAGAGAUGUGGAGGAACACCAGUGGCGAAGGCGACUCUUUGGUCUGUAACUGACGCUGAGGCGCGAAAGCGUGGGGAGCAAACAGG